AUGGAAUAUUGCCAAGCACCCUCCACUAUUUCGGAUAGUAUUUAUGGUUCUACCUUUUUCUUAGCAACUGGCUUUCAUGGUUUUCAUGUGAUUAUAGGUACUCUUUUCUUGAUCGUAUGUGGUAUUCGCCAAUAUCUUGGUCAUCUGACCAAGAAGCAUCACGUUGGCUUUGAAUUAAAGCUGAGGAUGUCAAAAAUUUGCCUCCUAUUGAAGAAAUACAUGGGCUUGAUACACCACCACCACCUAAGGUGGUAG
This 255-nucleotide ribosomal RNA is filed under the name Triticum aestivum (bread wheat). Its description in RNAcentral is "partial small subunit ribosomal RNA". Lineage: Eukaryota; Viridiplantae; Streptophyta; Magnoliopsida; Poales; Poaceae. The record is from RNAcentral.